GACGAACGCUGGCGGCGUGCCUAAUACAUGCAAGUCGAGCGGACUUGAUGGAGUGCUUGCACUCCUGAUGGUUAGCGGCGGACGGGUGAGUAACACGUAGGUAACCUGCCCGACAGACCGGGAUAACAUUCGGAAACGAAUGCUAAUACCGGAUACGCGAUUUCCUCGCAUGGGGGAAUCGGGAAAGACGGAGCAAUCUGUCACUGUUGGAUGGACCUGCGGCGCAUUAGCUAGUUGGUGAGGUAACGGCUCACCAAGGCGACGAUGCGUAGCCGACCUGAGAGGGUGAUCGGCCACACUGGGACUGAGACACGGCCCAGACUCCUACGGGUGGCUG
RNAcentral lists this ribosomal RNA (337 nucleotides) under uncultured Bacillota bacterium. RNAcentral's name for it is "bacterial SSU rRNA". It matches the Rfam family "Bacterial small subunit ribosomal RNA", at positions 28 to 351 of the family's 1533-position model. Lineage: Bacteria; Bacillati; Bacillota. The record is from RNAcentral.